UCAGAAUGAACGCUGGCGGCAUGCCUAACACAUGCAAGUCGAACGAAACCUUCGGGUUUAGUGGCGCACGGGUGCGUAACGCGUGGGAAUCUGCCCCUUGGUUCGGAAUAACAGUUGGAAACGACUGCUAAUACCGGAUGAUGACGUAAGUCCAAAGAUUUAUCGCCGAGGGAUGAGCCCGCGUAGGAUUAGGUAGUUGGUGUGGUAAAGGCGCACCAAGCCGACGAUCCUUAGCUGGUCUGAGAGGAUGAUCAGCCACACUGGGACUGAGACACGGCCCAGACUCCUACGGGAGGCAGCWGUGGGGAAUAUUGGACKAAUGGGCGAAAGCCUGAUCCAGCAAUGCCGCGUGAGUGAUGAAGGCCUUAGGGUUGUAAAGCUCUUUUACCCGGGAUGAUAAUGACAGU
This 407-nucleotide ribosomal RNA is filed under the name Sphingomonas sp. RNAcentral's name for it is "bacterial SSU rRNA". It matches the Rfam family "Bacterial small subunit ribosomal RNA", at positions 24 to 458 of the family's 1533-position model. Lineage: Bacteria; Pseudomonadati; Pseudomonadota; Alphaproteobacteria; Sphingomonadales; Sphingomonadaceae. The record is from RNAcentral.